UGAGGGACGAAGGCCUUCGGGUUGUAAACCUCUUUUAGUAGGGAAGAAGCGACUGGGUUUUCCUGGGAGUGACGGUACCUGCAGAAAAAGCACCGGCUAACUACGUGCCAGCAGCCGCGGUAAUACGUAGAGUGCAAGCGUUGUCCGGAAUUAUUGGGCGUAAAGAGCUCGUAGGCGGUUUGUCGCGUCUGCUGUGAAAACCCGAGGCUCAACCUCGGGCCUGCAGUGGGUACGGGCAGACUAGAGUGCGGUAGGGGAGAUUGGAAUUCCUGGUGUAGCGGUGGAAUGCGCAGAUAUCAGGAGGAACACCAAUGGCGAAGGCAGAUCUCUGGGCCGUAACUGACGCUGAGGAGCGAAAGCAUGGGGAGCGAACAGGAUUAGAUACCCUGGUAGUCCAUGCCGUAAACGUUGGGAACUAGAUGUGGGGACCAUUCCACGGUCUCCGUGUCGCAGCUAACGCAUUAAGUUCCCCGCCUGGGGAGUACGGCCGCAAGGCUAAAACUCAAAGGAAUUGACGGGGGCCCGCACAAGCGGCGGAGCAUGCGGAUUAAUUCGAUGCAACGCGAAGAACCUUACCAAGGCUUGACAUAUACCGGAAACGGCUGGAAACAGUCGCCCCGCAAGGUCGGUAUACAGGUGGUGCAUGGUUGUCGUCAGCUCGUGUCGUGAGAUGUUGGGUUAAGUCCCGCAACGAGCGCAACCCUCGUCCUAUGUUGCCAGCACGUAAUGGUGGGAACUCAUGGGAUACUGCCGGGGUCAACUCGGAGGAAGGUGGGGAUGACGUCAAAUCAUCAUGCCCCUUAUGUCUUGGGCUUCACGCAUGCUACAAUGGCCGGUACAAAGGGCUGCGAUACCGCAAGGUGGAGCGAAUCCCAAAAAGCCGGUCUCAGUUCGGAUUGAGGUCUGCAACUCGACCUCAUGAAGUCGGAGUCGCUAGUAAUCGCAGAUCAGCAACGCUGCGGUGAAUACGUUCCCGGGCCUUGUACACACCGCC
RNAcentral lists this ribosomal RNA (994 nucleotides) under uncultured Cryobacterium sp. RNAcentral describes it as "bacterial SSU rRNA". It matches the Rfam family "Bacterial small subunit ribosomal RNA", at positions 402 to 1394 of the family's 1533-position model. Lineage: Bacteria; Bacillati; Actinomycetota; Actinomycetes; Micrococcales; Microbacteriaceae. The record is from RNAcentral.